RNAcentral lists this ribosomal RNA (492 nucleotides) under uncultured bacterium. RNAcentral's name for it is "partial 16S ribosomal RNA". It matches the Rfam family "Bacterial small subunit ribosomal RNA", at positions 29 to 507 of the family's 1533-position model. The record is from RNAcentral.
AGUGAACGCUGGCGGUAGGCCUAACACAUGCAAGUCGAACGGCAGCACAGUAAGAGCUUGCUCUUACGGGUGGCGAGUGGCGGACGGGUGAGGAAUACAUCGGAAUCUACUUUUUCGUGGGGGAUAACGUAGGGAAACUUACGCUAAUACCGCAUACGACCUACGGGUGAAAGCAUGGGAUCUUCGGACCUCGCGCGAUUGAAUGAGCCGAUGUCGGAUUAGCUAGUUGGCGGGGUAAAGGCCCACCAAGGCGACGAUCCGUAGCUGGUCUGAGAGGAUGAUCAGCCACACUGGAACUGAGACACGGUCCAGACUCCUACGGGAGGCAGCAGUGGGGAAUAUUGGACAAUGGGCGCAAGCCUGAUCCAGCCAUACCGCGUGGGUGAAGAAGGCCUUCGGGUUGUAAAGCCCUUUUGUUGGGAAAGAAAAGCAGCAGGUUAAUACCCCGCUGUUCUGACGGUACCCAAAGAAUAAGCACCGGCUAACUUCGUG